This 732-nucleotide ribosomal RNA is filed under the name uncultured Gammaproteobacteria bacterium. RNAcentral describes it as "partial 16S ribosomal RNA". The record is from RNAcentral. Lineage: Bacteria; Pseudomonadati; Pseudomonadota; Gammaproteobacteria.
GGCCGCGGGAAUUCGAUUUACCUUGUUACGACUUCACCCCAGUCAUGAAUCACUCCGUGGUAAACGUCCUCCCGAGGGUUAGACUAUCUACUUCUGGAGCAACCCACUCCCAUGGUGUGACGGGCGGUGUGUACAAGGCCCGGGAACGUAUUCACCGCGUCAUUCUGAUACGCGAUUACUAGCGAUUCCGACUUCAUGGAGUCGAGUUGCAGACUCCAAUCCGGACUACGACGCACUUUAAGUGAUUCGCUUACUCUCGCGAGUUCGCAGCACUCUGUAUGCGCCAUUGUAGCACGUGUGUAGCCCUACACGUAAGGGCCAUGAUGACUUGACGUCGUCCCCACCUUCCUCCGGUUUAUCACCGGCAGUCUCCUUAGAGUUCUCAGCAUUACCUGCUAGCAACUAAGGAUAGGGGUUGCGCUCGUUGCGGGGACUUAACCCAACAUCUCACAACACGAGCUGACGACAGCCAUGCAGCACCUGUAUCAGAGUUCCCGAAGGCACCAAANCAUCUCUGGUAAGUUCUCUGUAUGUCAAGUGUAGGUAAAGGUUCUUCGCGUUGCAUCNAAAUUAAAACCCACAUGCUUCCACCCGCUUGUGCGGGGCCCCCCGUCCAAUUCACUUUGAGGUUUUUAAACCUUNGCGGNCCGGNACUCCCCCANGCGGGUCCNAACUUUAAUGGGGUUANACUUUUGAAAAACAAGAAACCGAAGGUUCCCGAAACNUUCUAAN